This 301-nucleotide ribosomal RNA is filed under the name uncultured bacterium. Its description in RNAcentral is "partial 16S ribosomal RNA". It matches the Rfam family "Bacterial small subunit ribosomal RNA", at positions 509 to 807 of the family's 1533-position model. The record is from RNAcentral.
CAGUCGCCGCGGUAAUACGGAGGGUGCAAGCGUUAAUCGGAAUUACUGGGCGUAAAGCGCACGCAGGCGGUUUGUUAAGUCAGAUGUGAAAUCCCCGAGCUUAACUUGGGAACUGCAUUUGAAACUGGCAAGCUAGAGUCUUGUAGAGGGGGGUAGAAUUCCAGGUGUAGCGGUGAAAUGCAUAGAGAUCCGGAGGGAUACCGGUGGCGAAGGCGGCCCCCUGGACAAAGACUGACGCUCAGGUGCGAAAGCGUGGGGAGCAAACAGGAUUAGAUACCCCGGUAGUCCCUGUCUCUUAUAC